CCUACGGGAGGCUGCAGUGGGGAAUAUUGCACAAUGGGGGAAACCCUGAUGCAGCGACGCCGCGUGAGUGAAGAAGUAUUUCGGUAUGUAAAGCUCUAUCAGCAAGGAAGAUAAUGACCGUAAUUGACUAAGAAGUCACUGCUAAAUACGUGCCAGCAGCCGCGGUCAUACGGAGGGAGCAAGCGUUAUCCGGAUGUACUGGGUGGAAAGGGAGCGGAGACGGCAUGGCAAGUCUGAUGUGAAAGCUCGGGGCUCAACCCGGGAACCGCGUUGGAAACUGGCGUCCUGGAGUGCAGGAGAGGGAGGCGGAAUUCCUAGUGUAGCGGUGAAAUGCGUAGAUAUUAGGAGGAACACCAGUGGCGAAGGCGGCCUACUGGACUGUAGCUGACGUUGAGGCUCGAAAGCGUGGGGAGCAAACAGGAUUAGAUACCCGUGUAGUC
RNAcentral lists this ribosomal RNA (440 nucleotides) under uncultured bacterium. Its description in RNAcentral is "partial 16S ribosomal RNA". It matches the Rfam family "Bacterial small subunit ribosomal RNA", at positions 338 to 795 of the family's 1533-position model. The record is from RNAcentral.